Thunnus maccoyii (southern bluefin tuna) is the source of this 1068-nucleotide long non-coding RNA. RefSeq lists it as uncharacterized. The transcript is spliced from 4 exons. The record is from RefSeq and is a predicted model, not a curated record. Lineage: Eukaryota; Metazoa; Chordata; Actinopteri; Scombriformes; Scombridae.
UCGAAACCAAAGGAAGAGGGCAGCAGUGUUGCAGGGCCUACUGUUGUACAUGAGAAUCCCUCUGCAUUCAUGAAGAUGUGUGAGAGCCAGACAUGCUGUUUUAUUUUCUCAUUGAUUCAGUCCGUAUCAAAGGAAGCAUAAGGAUGGAAAAUGGGAGCAUAAUUCCUGUGUCAAAAAAGCAUAUAUAAAUCCCCAACACCUUAUUGUGUGGCUUUUUGUUUUAAAAGGUUAUAUUGGCACACAAUAACAAAAACAAACCAACAGAUUGGUAGACCAGUAACUCCAGUGUUCUACGAGUGGCUUAAAUAUGUUUUGCUGCUGCGAUGUCCACAGCAAUACAUUGCUCAGCUUCCAUGUUUUUUCUCCUGUCUGCUUCUCCAAACUGGGGGUGUGUCAACCGCCAUCUACUAUAGAAAGCCAAAGGAUUCUGAAGAAGACAUCAUCAAGGAAAUGGUGACUGGAAUCCUUUUAGUAGCUGAAGAUGUGAAGGAACCCCUUCGAGUUUCCUACAACGAUGUUGCUAUUGUGAUUGCGGAAAAGAUUGUCAUGUGUCACUUGCUUGAGGUACCCAAUGCUUUUGUGAACCUGAUGGGACUGCUGUACAUGCUGAACCUUGACUAUCCAAAAGACUUAAAAUACACUUUUGAGGUGACUCAGCGCCUGUUCAUGGGAAUUGGGUUGGACUCCUGCACUGCCAGGGUCCACACACUGAAGACCAAAUUGUUAACUGUUCUGACUGACAGUUUCUCAGUUAGAGAAUUUUUCUAAGUUUUUCUGCAUUUUACUGCAGCAACCCUCAGCACUCAUUCCCCCAACUGGAGUAUAUUGAACAAGUCACUUAAAAUCUUUUUUUUCUCUCAUUAAAGGAGGUUGCCCUGAUUUUUAUGUGUGGGACACUAAUUUCAGUUUUUGAGCAGCCCUGAGCCAAGAGCAAGGAUGUGUGAGAGGGCCUGAAGGCUUUUGUUUUGUCUACACACUGAUUUUAGUUUUAAAAGCAACACUGAACACUUGUGAGUGAAUGGGUUGAAGUUGAAGUACACUUUACAUGAAUAAAAUUCUUGACUGAAA